UCCAGACUCCUACGGGAGGCAGCAGUGGGGGAUAUUGCACAAUGGGGGGAACCCUGAUGCAGCGACGCCGCGUGGGUGAAGGAGCGUUUCGGCGCGUAAAGCCCUCUCGGCAGGGAAGAAGGAGGACGGUACCUGACUAAGAAGCCCCGGCUAACUACGUGCCAGCAGCCGCGGUAAUACGUAGGGGGCAAGCGUUAUCCGGAUUUACUGGGUGUAAAGGGGGCGCAGACGGCAGCGCAAGCCAGGAGUGAAAGCCCGGGGCCCAACCCCGGGACUGCUCUUGGAACUGCGCGGCUGGAGUGCAGGAGGGGCAGGCGGAAUUCCUGGUGUAGCGGUGAAAUGCGUAGAUAUCAGGAGGAACACCGGUGGCGAAGGCGGCCUGCUGGACUGCGACUGACGUUGAGGCCCGAAAGCGUGGGGAGCAAACAGGAUUAGAUACCCCGGUAGG
Molecule: ribosomal RNA, 448 nt
Filed under: uncultured bacterium
Lineage: Bacteria
Description: partial 16S ribosomal RNA
Rfam family: Bacterial small subunit ribosomal RNA
Source: RNAcentral